UAUUCCCGAAUAUUCUAGGGGUACUUUUAUAAACCUACAUAAUCCUUACGUCCUGUGCCCUCUAGUUAACGUCAAAAUUAAAACAGGGAAAUAUAGCUUGCAAUAAUAUUUCUGAUUCGCGCCAUUUUUGUUAUUAAUAUAUUAUUUUGCCAUAGUUAAUUUUCAGUGUAAGUCUGUACAGAGAUAACGUUCAGAACCUUCAGUACUUACACUGUUAGUUAGAUUUAUUGGUAUGUUAACUUUUAUUGAUUUUUAAUUUUAUUGGCUUUACUUCUAGAUAAUUGCUUGAACAAAGUAUGUCUACACGAAAAAUUAAGUGGGUUACUGGAUUAUGCCUGUGCUCCAUGGUUUGUUAAUUAUAUUGGCUAGUGUUGGUAAACAUGUUUCGCGUAGUGGAAAAUCCUGAUGGUUCCACUUUGGUUUACAAGGCCAACACCAAUGAGUUGCUGUGUGUUGUACAAGGAAAACAUCCUUUGCCAACAGGUGCUUCCCAAUCAGUUCUAGCUCGAAAAACAAAAGACAUUCUUAAAACUUGUAGCAAAGGUAUGACAGUUUUUCUUAAUC
Molecule: long non-coding RNA, 564 nt
Organism: Limulus polyphemus (Atlantic horseshoe crab)
Lineage: Eukaryota; Metazoa; Arthropoda; Merostomata; Xiphosura; Limulidae
Exons: 3
Source: RefSeq, a predicted model, not a curated record